GAGCUUAGAGUUUGAGCGGGAUUUAUUUUGAAUUUCAAAUUUGUCUUGGUUGGAGAAAAAUCACAUGAAGAUCUUGGACUCCGUAAAUCAAGUUGUUUUAACAGUGAACUUCUGCCCCAAAGAAUCAAAAAUCAAAAAGUUAUUUGGCUUCUUGUGUUGACUAAAUUGUUGAAUAUGAGUGAGAAGGAAAUUUUGAACGUUAGGAUAUGCUAGAACACAGUGAAUGGAUGAAAUUUGCUCAAAAAGGUUGGACAAAGACUAUCCACAGUUAUGGUGCUACC
This 281-nucleotide long non-coding RNA is filed under the name Solanum tuberosum (potato). RNAcentral describes it as "long non-coding RNA (STUB_LNC008156)". The record is from RNAcentral. Lineage: Eukaryota; Viridiplantae; Streptophyta; Magnoliopsida; Solanales; Solanaceae.